RNAcentral lists this ribosomal RNA (385 nucleotides) under uncultured bacterium. RNAcentral describes it as "bacterial SSU rRNA". It matches the Rfam family "Bacterial small subunit ribosomal RNA", at positions 30 to 416 of the family's 1533-position model. The record is from RNAcentral.
AUUGAACGCUGGCGGCAUGCCUUACACAUGCAAGUCGAACGGCAGCGGACCUUCGGGUGCCGGCGAGUGGCGAACGGGUGAGUAAUAUAUCGGAACGUACCUUUCAGUGGGGGAUAACGUAGCGAAAGUUACGCUAAUACCGCAUAUUCUGUGAGCAGGAAAGCAGGGGAUCGCAAGACCUUGCGCUGAUUGAGCGGCCGAUAUCAGAUUAGCUAGUUGGUGAGGUAAAGGCUCACCAAGGCGACGAUCUGUAGCGGGUCUGAGAGGAUGAUCCGCCACACUGGAACUGAGACACGGUCCAGGACUCCUACGGGAGGCGGCAGUGGGGAAUUUUGGACAAUGGGCGCAAGCCUGAUCCAGCCAUGCCGCGUGAGUGAAGAAGGCC